This 1874-nucleotide ribosomal RNA is filed under the name uncultured fungus. RNAcentral describes it as "bacterial SSU rRNA". The stretch from base 950 to 1874 matches the Rfam family "Eukaryotic large subunit ribosomal RNA", at positions 1 to 941 of the family's 3401-position model. The record is from RNAcentral. Lineage: Eukaryota; Fungi.
GGGCCGCACGCGCGCUACACUGACAGAGCCAGCGAGUUUCUCUCCUUGGCCGGAAGGUCCGGGUAAUCUUGUGAAACUCUGUCGUGCUGGGGAUAGAGCAUUGCAAUUAUUGCUCUUCAACGAGGAAUUCCUAGUAAGCGCAAGUCAUCAGCUUGCGUUGAUUACGUCCCUGCCCUUUGUACACACCGCCCGUCGCUACUACCGAUUGAAUGGCUUAGUGAGGCCUCCGGAUCGGGCCUGGAGAGCGGGAAACCGCAUUCCGGGCUUGAGAAGCUGGUCAAACUUGGUCAUUUAGAGGAAGUAAAAGUCGUAACAAGGUUUCCGUAGGUGAACCUGCGGAAGGAUCAUUAAUGAAACAAACCGGGGGCGGUGGGGCGUGGCCUUGCACCGGCGGAGACGCCGUUCGUGCGGGCUCGCUCCGCCCCCUCAUCCACAACCCACACACCUGUGCACCAAAGGGACGGCGGGUGGAUAACGCACGUCGUCUCGCUUUAACAAGCUCAAAAGUCUAUUUCGAAUGUCAUUUGAUUCGGGCUAGUCUCGAUGUAAACUAAAUGUAACAACUUUCAACAACGGAUCUCUUGGCUCUCGCAUCGAUGAAGAACGCAGCGAAAUGCGAUAAGUAAUGUGAAUUGCAGAAUUCAGUGAAUCAUCGAAUCUUUGAACGCACCUUGCGCCCAUUGGUAUUCCGAUGGGCAUGCCUGUUUGAGUGUCUUGAAAUCAUCAAGCCCGUUCGGUUUCACCGCCGAGCGUGGCUUGGACUUGGGGGCCUUGCCGCUUUGCCGCGGCUCCCCUUAAAUGCAUCGGUUUCGGGUCUCUGUGGGAGUCACCCCUUGGGCGUUGUAUAACCCUCGCCGUCUGGGAACUCCACGCGACGUCCGCGUCGUUGAAGGGCCUCUGAAGGAACCUCGACCUGCUGUAGAGCGGCGGUCAAUGUUAAUUCGAGAUCUGACCUCAAAUCAGGUAGGACUACCCGCUGAACUUAAGCAUAUCAAUAAGCGGAGGAAAAGAAACUAACAAGGAUUCCCCUAGUAACUGCGAGUGAAGCGGGAAAAGCUCAAAUUUGAAAUCUGGCGUCUCCGGCGUCCGAGUUGUAUUCUGGAGAAGCGUUUUCCGUGCUGGACCGUGUACAAGUCCCUUGGAACAGGGCGUCAUAGAGGGUGAGAAUCCCGUCUUUGACACGGACUGCCAGUGCUCUGUGAUGCGCUCUCGAAGAGUCGAGUUGUUUGGGAAUGCAGCUCAAAACGGGUGGUAAAUUCCAUCUAAAGCUAAAUAUUGGCGAGAGACCGAUAGCGAACAAGUACCGUGAGGGAAAGAUGAAAAGCACUUUGGAAAGAGAGUGAAACAGUACGUGAAAUUGUUGAAAGGGAAACGCUUGUAGUCAGUCGCGUCUUCUGGAACUCAGCCUUGCUUCUGCUUGGUGUACUUUCCAGUUUGACGGGUCAGCAUCGGUUUCGGUGGGGCAGACAAAGGCGGAGGGAAGGUGGCCGCUCCGGCGGUGUUAUAGCCCUCCGUUGUACGUGCCUCCUGGGACCGAGGAAUCCGGCGCUCGACGCCUGGGAUGCUGGCGUAAUGGCUUUAAGCGACCCGUCUUGAAACACGGACCAAGGAGUGCUACAUGCUCGCGAGUGUUUGGGUGGAAAACCCGGACGCGGAAUGAAAGUGAAAGCCGUGACCCUUCACAGGGGCAGCGGCGCCCGAGCCUGAUGUUUUCGGAAGGCCUUGCGGUAGAGCGAGUAUGUUGCGACCCGAAAGAUGGUGAACUAUUCCUGAGGAGGGCGAAGCCAGAGGAAACUCUGGUGGAGGCUCGUAGCGGUUCUGACGUGCAAAUCGAUCGCAGGACUUGGGUAUAGGGGCGAAAGACUAAUCGAACC